GCGUCCGAUCUCAUCUGAUCUCGGAAGUU
Molecule: ribosomal RNA, 29 nt
Filed under: Ochotona princeps (American pika)
Lineage: Eukaryota; Metazoa; Chordata; Mammalia; Lagomorpha; Ochotonidae
Source: RNAcentral